UACGUAGGAGGCAAGCGUUGUCCGGAAUUACUGGGUGUAAAGCGCGUGUAGGUGGUGGGCCAAGUCUGUGGUGAAAUCGCCCGGCUCAACUGGGCGGGGUCCGUGGAAACUGGUCGACUGGAGGACGGUAGAGGCGAGUGGAAUUCCCGGUGUAGUGGUGAAAUGCGUAGAGAUCGGGAGGAACACCAGUGGCGAAGGCGGCUCGCUGGGCCGUAACUGACGCUGAGACACGAAAGCGUGGGUAGCAAACAGG
This 253-nucleotide ribosomal RNA is filed under the name uncultured bacterium. Its description in RNAcentral is "partial 16S ribosomal RNA". It matches the Rfam family "Bacterial small subunit ribosomal RNA", at positions 524 to 776 of the family's 1533-position model. The record is from RNAcentral.